Molecule: unclassified non-coding RNA, 313 nt
Filed under: Hevea brasiliensis (rubber tree)
Lineage: Eukaryota; Viridiplantae; Streptophyta; Magnoliopsida; Malpighiales; Euphorbiaceae
Source: RNAcentral
AACAGGAGAAUGAUGGCUUGAAACGGUUUGAUGAGGUUAUCCAUGGUAAACAGCGCAAGUUUUUCAGGAGGAAGGCCAAAUCUCUAGAAAAGAACCAAUCAAAGGAAAUUAAACCUUCUCAAGCUUCAAAUAGGAUUGUCAUUUUAAAGCCUGGACCUAUAGGAGUGCAAAAACCAGAAACUGAAGGAAGAGUUGGUUCAUCUCCAGAAUCGCAAAUUACCAUAAGAAACAAGGGACCAAAUGAAAGAGUUGGUUCCUACUUUUUUUUCACUGAAAUUAAAAGAAGGUUAAAACAAGCCAUGGGGAAAGAGCA